RNAcentral lists this ribosomal RNA (929 nucleotides) under uncultured bacterium. RNAcentral describes it as "bacterial SSU rRNA". It matches the Rfam family "Bacterial small subunit ribosomal RNA", at positions 33 to 954 of the family's 1533-position model. The record is from RNAcentral.
ACGCUAGCGAUAGGCUUAACACAUGCAAGUCGAGGGGCAGCAUGGUCUUAGCUUGCUAAGACUGAUGGCGACCGGCGCACGGGUGCGUAACGCGUAUGCAACUUGCCUCACGGAGGGGGAUAACCCGUCGAAAGACGGACUAAUACCGCGUACACUUACAGGAGGGCAUCCUCCAGUAAGGAAAUGAAAUUCGCUGUGAGAUAGGCAUGCGUCCCAUUAGCUAGUUGGUGAGGUAACGGCUCACCAAGGCGACGAUGGGUAGGGGAACUGAGAGGUUGAACCCCCACACUGGUACUGAGACACGGACCAGACUCCUACGGGAGGCAGCAGUGAGGAAUAUUGGUCAAUGGGCGAGAGCCUGAACCAGCCAAGUCGCGUGAAGGAUGACUGUCUUAUGGAUUGUAAACUUCUUUUAUACGGGAAUAACAAGAGUCACGUGUGGCUCCCUGCAUGUACCGUAUGAAUAAGCAUCGGCUAACUCCGUGCCAGCAGCCGCGGUAAUACGGAGGAUGCGAGCGUUAUCCGGAUUUAUUGGGUUUAAAGGGUGCGUAGGCGGCCUGUUAAGUCAGCGGUGAAAUCUAGGAGCUUAACUCCUAAAUUGCCAUUGAUACUGGCGGGCUUGAGUGUAGAUGAGGUAGGCGGAAUGCGUGGUGUAGCGGUGGAAUGCAUAGAUAUCACGCAGAACUCCGAUUGCGAAGGCAGCUUACUAAGGUACAACUGACGCUGAAGCACGAAAGCGUGGGUAUCAAACAGGAUUAGAUACCCUGGUAGUCCACGCAGUAAACGAUGAUAACUGGGCGUAUGCGAUAUACAGUAUGCUCCUAAGCGAAAGCGUUAAGUUAUCCACCUGGGGAGUACGCCGGCAACGGUGAAACUCAAAGGAAUUGACGGGGGCCCGCACAAGCGGAGGAACAUGUGGUUUAAUUCGA